RNAcentral lists this ribosomal RNA (396 nucleotides) under uncultured bacterium. RNAcentral describes it as "bacterial SSU rRNA". It matches the Rfam family "Bacterial small subunit ribosomal RNA", at positions 361 to 774 of the family's 1533-position model. The record is from RNAcentral.
AUUUUGGGCAAUGGGCGAAAGCCUGACCCAGCAACGCCGCGUGAGGGAUGAAGUACUUCGGUAUGUAAACCUCGAAAGAAUGGGAAGAAUAAAUGACGGUACCAUUUAUAAGCUCCGGCUAACUACGUGCCAGCAGCCGCGGUAAUACGUAGGGAGCAAGCGUUGUUCGGAUUUACUGGGCGUAAAGGGCGCGUAGGCGGCGCGGUAAGUCACUUGUGAAAUCUCUGAGCUUAACUCAGAACGGCCAAGUGAUACUGCUGUGCUAGAGUGCGGAAGAGGCAACCGGAAUUCUUGGUGUAGCGGUGAAAUGCGUAGAUAUCAAGAGGAACACCUGAGGCGAAGGCGGGUUGCUGGGCCGACACUGACGCUGAUGCGCGAAAGCCAGGGGAGCAAACG